RNAcentral lists this long non-coding RNA (683 nucleotides) under Nicotiana benthamiana. RNAcentral's name for it is "long non-coding RNA (NBEN_LNC017014)". The record is from RNAcentral. Lineage: Eukaryota; Viridiplantae; Streptophyta; Magnoliopsida; Solanales; Solanaceae.
ACUCCGUCAUAUAUCAAUUUGUGCUUUGUUUGUCAUUCAUCAAAACCUACAAAAGAAUACACGUUUAGUAUAUCGCAUUGAGAACGUGUUUCCAACAAUGUUAACUGAGAGCCCUAUUUCUGAUUCCAAACUCUGCUUGCUUACUAAUAUUAAUUCUGUCACUUGGAUUAUAGAUUCAGGGGCCUCUAAUCACAUGACACAUGAUAAACAUUUACUUUUUAACAUCACACCUUUAACUCUACCAUAUCUUGUCACUCUUCCUAAUGGCUAUAAAGUGAAAGUGACAUGCACAGGCUCUUUUGCAUUGACUCCUACCAUUACUCUUCACAACUCUACCAUAUCUUGUCACUCUUCCUAAUGGCUAUAAAGUGCAAGUGACAUGCAUAGGUUCUUUUGCAUUGACGCCUUCCAUCACCCUUCACAAUGUACUGCUAGUUCCUUCUUUUAAACACAACUUGAUUUAUGUCCACAAGUUAGUGAAGCAGUUGCAUUGUAUAGUUCUGUUCACUGAACACUCAUGCUUACUACACAUGAUACAGGACCCUUCUCUGAGGAGGCCUCUGGAUCUUGGUAUGGAAGCUGCUGGCUUAUAUAAACUGGCUUGGGUUCCUCCUUCCCUUUCUUCCUCUGUUAGUUGUUCCUCUACUUCUGUUUGUUCUGUGUCUGCUUCUUGUAAUGAUGAN